ACCUUGGGGUCUGUGGUCUUUUU
RNAcentral lists this non-coding RNA (23 nucleotides) under Cricetulus griseus (Chinese hamster). Lineage: Eukaryota; Metazoa; Chordata; Mammalia; Rodentia; Cricetidae. The record is from RNAcentral.